GUGGUCAUUUUGAUGUCCUUCUGGAACAGACAAGUGUGGCUUUCAGCCCACAACAAGGCACCAUGUUACUAAUUGGGCUGGUGGGGCUACGUGGGAUCGUCACUGUCACACUAGGAGGGGAUGGGGAGCACUCGGUGGGGGGCUCUGCCAGGGUCCUGGCACACAGGAUGAGCCCUGAGCAUCAAAACCUCACAUGUAGCAAAAACUCGUGGUCAAAGGAGUGCUUUUGGCUCCACAGAGGGGCAUUUUUCUCAAGUCAUUAUUUCUUCCCGUAGGAAAGAGAACGUGGGCAUUGCAUGUGACACCAUGUGAUGUGGAAGCAAGAGACAUCGAUGUUCCUUCAAACUCAUGGUCAGGCUUACCCCAGCCUGGGAGGGUGCCAGGGAAUGGUUUCCCUUGUGACUACCUGCUCAUGCUGCAGACAGGACAUUGCUCAGCCCCAUUUGGAUGUGCUUUUCAAGGAGCAUCGCUGACUCCUCUAUAUCCAUGUAUGCAGAGUUGCUUCCACCCAACUGCAGUCUAAGCCACGGACAGCUGUCCUGUUUGAGACCUAGCCCCUCGUAUCUAGCUCCUCUGACCUACUGGCAGGACUCCUUGGAAGGACUAAUUUUCAUCAAGGAGCAGGUCUUCAAGCUGAGUUUUUCCAACCCCCUUCAGCUUCUGUCCCUGCCUCUUGCCUUCCUCCUGUGAAGACAUCAGAUGCUGGAGCUGCUCCAAUCCCUCCCUGCAGGGUUGUCCCUGGAGGAGAUUUCCACCUAGACUUGUCCUUCAGCACUGGAACGCUCUACAAAGGGAGCUCAGCACAGAGCAGGAGGAGUAACCAAGCCAGCAUGUUUUGAGAAUUGUGAUUGUGAAAAUGCAGCUUUACCAGGGCUGAAGGGGAGCACGUACAGCUCCAGCCCCUCUGGCCAUGCCUGGGGCCAAGCUGGCUGCCAGCUCUUCUUGCAGCAUAGUCACCCAAGGGAGUUUUGCACCACAGUGCUGUGAAGGAUGCUGUGUCGUGUGUGAAGGAGAGGGAGAUGACAGCUGCUUGCUUCGGGGCCAGAAGCAAAGCUGAGGCUGGUACGAGUUCAGACCUGACCGCGAUGUGCCGUAUGUGUGAAGAGGGAGAGUCAGCAGAGACAUUGGUGCCCUCCAAGUUGGCAAGACCAUUGACAAGGGAGCAGUUGCUCACUGGGAGCUGAGAGCAUGAAACAAGAAGAAGCUGCAGGUGGAGCACAACAUGACACCACCUCUGGCAGCAUCAGCAGCACU
RNAcentral lists this long non-coding RNA (1254 nucleotides) under Calidris pugnax (ruff). Its description in RNAcentral is "lncRNA (ENSCPUG00000016603.1)". Lineage: Eukaryota; Metazoa; Chordata; Aves; Charadriiformes; Scolopacidae. The record is from RNAcentral.